CCACUGAAGUAAUUUUGAAGGGCCGCAGUAUUUUGACUGUGCAAAGGUAGCAUAAUCAUUAGUCUUUUAAUUGAAGGCUGGAAUGAAUGGUUGGAUAAGGUAAAUUCUGUUUUAUAUUAAUUUAUUGAAAUUAGAUUUUAAGUAAAAAGACUUAAAUGAUAUUAAGGGACGAGAAGACCCUAUAGAGUUUAAUAAAUAUAAUAAUUUAAUUAAGUUAAUAAGGAGUUUUUGAUUAUUAUGAGGUUUAUUUAAUUGGGGUGAUUAAAAGAUAAAAUGAACUCUUUUUUAAUUUUAAUAUUUUGUUUAGUUAAAUGAUCCAUAUUUAAUGAUUAGAAGAUUAAAUUACCUUAGGGAUAACAGCAUAAUUUUUUUUGGGAGUUCUUAUUGAAAAAAGAGAUUAUGACCUCGAUGUUGGAUUAAGAGAAAUUUUAGGUGUAGAUGUUUAAAAAUUAGGUCUGUUCGACCUAUAAAAUCUUACAUGA
Molecule: ribosomal RNA, 482 nt
Filed under: Hestiasula sp. MN478
Lineage: Eukaryota; Metazoa; Arthropoda; Insecta; Mantodea; Hymenopodidae
Description: partial 16S ribosomal RNA
Rfam family: Bacterial large subunit ribosomal RNA
Source: RNAcentral